This 401-nucleotide ribosomal RNA is filed under the name uncultured Methylobacterium sp. RNAcentral's name for it is "bacterial SSU rRNA". It matches the Rfam family "Bacterial small subunit ribosomal RNA", at positions 355 to 774 of the family's 1533-position model. The record is from RNAcentral. Lineage: Bacteria; Pseudomonadati; Pseudomonadota; Alphaproteobacteria; Hyphomicrobiales; Methylobacteriaceae.
UGGGGAAUAUUGGACAAUGGGCGCAAGCCCGAUCCAGCCAUGCCGCGUGAGUGAUGACGGCCUUAGGGUUGUAAAGCUCUUUUCUCCGGGACGAUAAUGACGGUACCGGAGGAAUAAGCCCCGGCUAACUUCGUGCCAGCAGCCGCGGUAAUACGAAGGGGGCUAGCGUUUCUCGGAAUCACUGGGCGUAAAGGGCGCGUAGGCGGCCAUUCAAGUCGGGGUGAAAGCCUGUGGCUCAACCACAGAAUUGCCUUCGAUACUGUUUGGCUUGAGUUUGGUAGAGGUUGGUGGAACUGCGAGUGUAGAGGUGAAAUUCGUAGAUAUUCGCAAGAACACCAGUGGCGAAGGCGGCCAACUGGACCAAUACUGACGCUGAGGCGCGAAAGCGUGGGGAGCAAACA